GACGAACGCUGGCGGCGUGCUUAACACAUGCAAGUCGAACGGUGAACCCCUUCGGGGGGGAGUCAGUGGCGAACGGGUGAGUAACACGUGAGCAACCUGCCCCUCGACUCUGGGAGUAACCCCGGGAAACCCGGAGCUAAUACCGGAUACGACACGCUGGGGCGAUCCGGUGCGUGUGGAAAGAUUUAUCGGUUGGGGAUGGGCUCGCGGCCUAUCAGCUUGUUGGUGGGGUAACGGCCUACCAAGGCGACGACGGGUAGCCGGCCUGAGAGGGCGACCGGCCACACUGGGACUGAGACACGGCCCAGACUCCUACGGGAGGCAGCAGUGGGGAAGUAUUGCGCAAUGGGCGAAAGCCUGACGCAGCGACGCCGCGUGAGGGAUGAAGGCCUUCGGUUGUU
RNAcentral lists this ribosomal RNA (401 nucleotides) under uncultured bacterium. Its description in RNAcentral is "bacterial SSU rRNA". It matches the Rfam family "Bacterial small subunit ribosomal RNA", at positions 28 to 427 of the family's 1533-position model. The record is from RNAcentral.